CGCAGCCGCGGUAUUCCAGCUUCAAUAGCGUAUAUUAGAGUUGUUGCAGUUAAAAAGCUCGUAGUUGAAUUUCGGGAUCAAUAUAUCGGUCGUACUUCUGGUACGUACUGGUAUCAUUGAUUUCUCCCUUCUGACGAACCAUGAUGUCAUUAAUUUGGUGUUAUGGGGAGUUAGAACUGUUACUUUGAAAAAAUUAGAGUGUUUAAAGCAGGCAUUAGCUUGAAUACAUUAGUAUGGAAUAAUGAAAUAGGAUGUUUGACCCUAUUUUGUUGGUUUCUAGGAUCGACGUAAUGAUUAAUAGGGAUAGUUGGGGGCAUUAGUAUUCAAUUGUCAGAGGUGAAAUUCUUGGAUUUAUUGAAGACUAACUACUGCGAAAGCAUUUGCCAAGGAUGUUUUCAUU
Molecule: ribosomal RNA, 400 nt
Filed under: uncultured Glomeromycotina
Lineage: Eukaryota; Fungi; Glomeromycota
Description: SSU rRNA
Rfam family: Eukaryotic small subunit ribosomal RNA
Source: RNAcentral